UACCGACCGAGUUAUAGGGAAAACUUGGUGCAAAAAUGAGGAAAAUUUUACAUUUUCUCAAACAGGGUAGGGAACUCGAAUAACUUCUGGCACAGACAUCUGAGGGCAUGGCCGUUCAAGAAGAAAAUGUAGCCAUUGGUGCCAUCUAUCGACCACAGGUUAAAGAUUGGCGAUCCGUUGGAUACCGACCGAGUUACAGGCAAAACUUGGUGCAAAAAUGAGGAAAAUUUUAUAUUUUCUCAAACAGGGUAAGGAACUUGGUUCCUCCAAUAACUUCUGGCACAGACAUCUGAGGGCAUGGCCGUCCAAGAAGAAAAUGUAGCCAUUGGUGCCAUCUAUCGACCACAGGUUAAAGAUUGGCGAUCCGUUGGAUACCGACCGAGUUACAGGCAAAACUUUGUGCAAAAAUGAGGAAAAUUUUAUAUUUUCUCAAACAGGGUAAGGAACUUGGUUCCUCCAAUAACUUCUGGCACAGACAUCUGAGGGCAUGGCCGUUCAAGAAGAAAAUGUAGCCAUUGGUACCACCUAUUGACCACAGGUUAAAGAUUGGCGAUCCGUUGGAUACCAACCGAGUUAUAGGCAAAAGUUGAUGCAAAAAUGAAUCCUUUGAAAUUUUCAAAUUUUUAUUUUUUUUUAAUUUUUAUCUAAUUUUUUAUUAUUUUUUUUAAUUUAAAGCAUUAUUUGAGUGAAAAUAAACGUAUUGGCACCAAUUGGCAUUAAAAUUAAUCAAUUUAAUUUUUUUUGCAAAAUUUCUCAAAAAAAUGGUAAGGGGUAAGCCUUAUGAAAUUUUCGAGUGGAAAUUUUUUUUUAAAUUUUUUCUGAUUUUUUAUUCUUUUUUAAAUUUAAAGCAAUAUUUAAGUGAAAAGAAACUUACUGCAACAAAUUCCCAAUAAAAUAUAUGACAUUUUUCAAUUUUGCUAAAUUACUCAAAAAUGAGGAAAAUUUUAUAUUUUCUCAAACAGGGUAAGGAACUUGAUUCCUCAAAUAACUUCUGGCACAGGCAUAUGAGGGCAUGGCCGUCCAAGAAGAAAAUGUAGCCAUUGGUGCCAUCUAUCGACCACAGGUUAAAGAUUGGCGAUCUGUUGGAUACCGACCGAGUUAUAGGCAAAACUUGGUGCAAAAAUGAGGAAAAUUUUACAUUUUCUCAAACAGGGUA
This is a long non-coding RNA of Anopheles funestus (African malaria mosquito), 1156 nucleotides long. RefSeq lists it as uncharacterized. The transcript is spliced from 3 exons. The record is from RefSeq and is a predicted model, not a curated record. NCBI's taxonomy places the organism in Eukaryota, Metazoa, Arthropoda, Insecta, Diptera, Culicidae.